UCCACAGGAAGUUUCUAGAGAUGAGUAUAGGUGCCUUCGGGACCGUGAGACAGGUGCUGCAUGGCUGUCGUCAGCUCGUGUUGUGAAAUGUUGGGUUAAGUCCCGCAACGAGCGCAACCCUGUAUCCUUGUGUUGCCAGCGGUCCGGCGCGGGAACUCAAAGGAGACUGCCAGUGACUAACAUCUGGAGGAAGGUGGGGAUGACCGUCAAGUUCAUCAUGGCCCUUACGACCAGGGCUACACACGUGCUACAAUGGCGCAUACAAAGAGAGAGCGACCUCGCGAGAGCAAGCGGACCUCAUAAAGUGCGUCGUAGUCCGGAUUGGAGUCUGCAACUCGACUCCAUGAAGUCGGAAUCGCUAGUAAUCGUGGAUCAGAAUGCCACGGUGGAAUACGUUCCC
Molecule: ribosomal RNA, 400 nt
Filed under: uncultured bacterium
Lineage: Bacteria
Description: bacterial SSU rRNA
Rfam family: Bacterial small subunit ribosomal RNA
Source: RNAcentral